Hibiscus syriacus is the source of this 527-nucleotide long non-coding RNA. RefSeq lists it as uncharacterized. The record is from RefSeq and is a predicted model, not a curated record. Lineage: Eukaryota; Viridiplantae; Streptophyta; Magnoliopsida; Malvales; Malvaceae. The transcript is spliced from 2 exons.
CUUUUGUCUUUCUUAACAUCUGUACUCCAGUUUUAAGCUUUUGUAUACCCAAAACUCGAGUAUUUUAUUUGCCUUAAACCCAUUUUAUUUUUAAGUUUAAAGCUAUCGGCUUUGCCUUUCCUCUUAAACGAACUUUAGGGUUUAAGAUGUUCUCGGCUACGGGGUCUGAAGUAGCCUAUUGGGGCACUGGUGUUUUGCUCAUGCCGCUACAUUUCCCUGGGAGCUUGUUUUUGCCACAAAGGUCCGCAGACAGCGCAGCCGAUGCCUGCUAGCGGGGUUAUGUUACUGGUCCGGCAUAAGUUGCAGAAGACUUACGUAUGCAGCGUAUUGUUGGAAAUCAUGGAUUGACAUUACUUCCGAGUUUGGAAUAGGGAAUGAAGCCAUUGGUCCUUUUAGCAUAGGAUAAAAUUUAUUGUAAAUUAUAUUUAUCGAAUCUUGAAAUUAUUUGGAUUAUGGAACUAUGCUGCUGCUGUCAUUCGUUCACUUAUGAUUUUAAUGUUAUUCUGCUCUUGCUGUUGUAUUUUCUU